CGUUCCUGUAAUAGUAAAUAAUGUACUUAUGUUUACAACCAAAACAUUAUAUGGGAUUUUUCUCACCACUGCGUCGCACACUUAAUGUUGCACACGCACUUACCAUUUUCCUCUGGCUUGUCCUUUAUUUGGAGGCUACCGAUCUGUAAGGGGGAAAGAAUAAAGUUCAAAGAGGUGUUUGUCUGAUAAAACAAUGCUUGCCACUAUACGAGUUAGGACAGGGCAAUACGCCAGAGGCACUAACUGUGGCAAACGUUUGAGUCAUGAUGAGCAUCAUUAGAACUAUGUUAGAGGAACGUGCGUCAUAUGCUUGCUAGUCGUUAGUUUAACGCAGCAAGCACGCAGCGACUCAGCUCCUGCUACUUCAUUUAGCUUUCCCGACCAACAGGCCACCAGAGAUUCUCUAGCCAAAGAUGGUGGACUGUAACAUGUUCUGUCAGCGGGUUAAGCGGCACACUGCUACGCCUGUGGCACCAGACUUAAAGCAGCAACAACGCAACUAGGCAGAGGAAAAGAGAAAGAGAGGGAGAGAGACAGAGAGAGAGCGACUGGGGAUAUGGUUGCUAUAGUAACCAUCUGGUGGGUCUGAACUGUUUCUCCCUGACAUUCAUUUCAUCAUAUUGAGCCUGUGUCUUUCUUUCUCUUCCUCUACUCUCACUUUUGUUUAUCCUCUCUUUUCCUCCUUCUCUCCUGGCUCUCCUUCCUUCUUAUCUCCUCAUCUCCCCCUCGUGCCGCUCUCCCACUCUCUUUCCAAUCUGCUUUCAUGCUGUCCCGCCUCCUCUCGCCCUUUUCCUGCCUCUUCCAGCUCGCUUCAGUUUCCUUGAAAAAACGAGCGAAAAAGAGUGAAUGUGGUCCCCAUCUUUUUGGCUGUUUGUGCAUUUAUCUGACUGACCUGAAAGUCCCAUCUGUUAAAUAUGGACUCUUGACCUUUUUUAAGACAAGAACAAUACAUGAGGAAAAUGUGCAUAGAGCCAGCAUUUGGUUUCUGUUCAAGUUUUGGAGAUAUGUAAAAGCUGGAUUGGUAUUUCAGAUGGUAGUUUCUUGAAAGAUUGAAGUCAUUUGCAAUCUCGAUUUAGCUGCAAUAAAAGUAUGUUUUGCGAUUAUAUCAUAGGCAGGUUUUUUGGGGGUGGGGGGUUAAACCUUCGGAUUCUGCUCUGCCCAGACAAACAACAACAAAAAAAAUGUUUGUGCAAAUGAAAGAUUCUGGUGUGAUGUCUGGUGGGAUAUUCAUUCAUUUUUCCAACCAGGACUGCAACCAAGACUGCAUUUCUCUUUUCCUUGUAAUCAGCUGUUGGAGAUCUGAAUUCACAUCAGAUUCUAAACAAGCAAGAGAAUACCUGAUCCCACUGGCACUUGCUCUUACCCACUACACACACAGGAAUUUACACAAUGAUAUGUGCGCACGUCUAUACACAGAUACACCAACAUUUGCACAUGUACACACAGACAAGAAACGCACAUGGAGUGGAAAGAAAUGCUAAAGUUGCCCCAGUCAUUUGCAUGCGGUAAACAUUCUAUCACUGCAUCAAAUACAAAUAAAAAAGGUAAUUCUUUGCUCCAAGGAGGAGGGGUUGUUUCCCAGUGUGCAUUUCAUCAUGCUGCGACACAAAGGUCAGAUUCAGAAUAGUCAGGUGCAGAGAAAUGCACUGGGUUUCCUCAAUGACAACACAGUGCUUUCAGUGUGUGUGUAUGCCUGUGUGUGGGCAGCUAACCAGAGGCUUGCAGGGAGGGGUUUCCCCCCUUGUGUCAGUAAAACUAUGCAUGCUUUCACCGGUCUCUUUCCCUUUUCUAUUUGGCUCCUUCGAUGUUGUCUUUCUGUCUGUCUUUUCUUCCACACCUGUCAGAGCUUAUAACUCACAGCCACCCUCCUUUCACAGCAUCGGUAAUUAGCCUCUCAUCCCUGCUCACCACCAAAACCCAUUUGCCAAAACGUUAUCCAAAUUGUGAAUGACUAUGGGUAAUAGAGCGCUUCCCAUUACAUGAAUCACAAUAAUGGAGGUUAUCGUCUCUCUUCAGUUUAAUUUAAGUCUCAUAACACCGAUGGUCACCCAGCCAAAGUAUGACCUCAAAUUAUUGACCCGCCUGAGGUUUACAAUAUCUGCUGCAUCUCUGUGAUUGGAUUAGGAUUUAGCAUUAUAUCAGUGUGCAGCUACUGUCUGGGGGUUUGUGUGAUUAAUUGUGUAACUAACUUUUGAGAUGAGUAUUGUUUUUUACGAAUAUGUGUAAUGUAUCUCAACUGGUAUGUAGUGUAUUAACUACCCGUACAAAUAUAUAUCUUCCUUCCCUGUGAUUUACUGCACCAUGAUGCUGUCAAUAGUGAGAUGUGUCACUGAGCAGACUGCGGUAGAGCUUUGUGAAGUCGACUCAACACUCAUAUUUCUAUUAUGUUUAAAUAUUUGGGAGGAACAAAAGAGCAAGAGGAAUUUUAAUGAAGAUCAUGAACUAGCCAGCAGAUUGUGCCUCAGAUCUGAUUCUAACCAGAUCUUAAAUUUAGAUUUAGAUUUAAUUUGAAACACAAGGUCACGACGCACAACUUAAAUUAGGCCUUGGUUCCAUUUCCAGUAAAUAAAGUUAUAAUAAAAAUAAUGGUCCAACUGACUAUUAAUCAAGAAAUUACAUAAAAAGGCAGCUCGACAGCUCGUUUUUUUCUUUCUUUUCUUUAUCCUUUUACAUAAGCUUAGUCUUUCAUAGAAAUACAUUGAUAAAAGAGGUACACUGCUUGACUGAGCCUUCAGUUAUCAAGCUCCUCUUUUGUGGAACCAGGUUCCACUUUCAGUCCGGGGGGCAGAUUCGGUCAGCUCUUUUAAAGUAAAACUUAAAACGUUCCUCUUUGAUUCUGCCUAUAG
Gasterosteus aculeatus aculeatus (three-spined stickleback) is the source of this 2846-nucleotide long non-coding RNA. RefSeq lists it as uncharacterized. The record is from RefSeq and is a predicted model, not a curated record. Lineage: Eukaryota; Metazoa; Chordata; Actinopteri; Perciformes; Gasterosteidae.